This 301-nucleotide ribosomal RNA is filed under the name uncultured bacterium. RNAcentral's name for it is "partial 16S ribosomal RNA". It matches the Rfam family "Bacterial small subunit ribosomal RNA", at positions 509 to 807 of the family's 1533-position model. The record is from RNAcentral.
CAGCAGCCACGGUAAUACGAAGGGGGCUAGCGUUGUUCGGAAUUACUGGGCGUAAAGGGCGCGUAGGCGGCCAUUCAAGUUAGAUGUGAAAGCCCUGGGCUCAACCUAGGAAUUGCAUUUGAUACUGUUUGGCUUGAGUUCGGGAGAGGUGAGUGGAAUUCCCAGUGUAGAGGUGAAAUUCGUAGAUAUUGGGAAGAACACCAGUGGCGAAGGCGGCUCACUGGACCGACACUGACGCUGAGGCACGAAAGCGUGGGGAGCAAACAGGAUUAGAUACCCCAGUAGUCCCUGUCUCUUAUAC